ACGGAAGGCAGCAGUGAGGAAUAUUGGUCAAUGGGCGGGAGCCUGAACCAGCCAAGUAGCGUGAGGGAUGACGGCCCUAUGGGUUGUAAACCUCUUUUGACAGGGAAUAAAGUGAGCCACGUGUGGUUCAUUGCAUGUACCUGUGGAAUAAGGAUCGGCUAACUCCGUGCCAGCAGCCGCGGUAAUACGGAGGAUCCGAGCGUUAUCCGGAUUUAUUGGGUUUAAAGGGUGCGCAGGCGGCACGUUAAGUCAGCGGUGAAAUGUCGGGGCUCAACCCGGGCACUGCCGUUGAAACUGGCGAGCUUGAGUACGGAUGAAGUCGGCGGAAUGUGAUGUGUAGCGGUGAAAUGCUUAGAUAUGUCACAGAACACCGAUUGCGAAGGCAGCUGACUAAUCCGCAACUGACGCUCAGGCACGAAAGCGUGGGGAUCGAACAGGAUUAGAUACCCUGGUA
This 454-nucleotide ribosomal RNA is filed under the name uncultured Parabacteroides sp. RNAcentral's name for it is "partial 16S ribosomal RNA". It matches the Rfam family "Bacterial small subunit ribosomal RNA", at positions 341 to 792 of the family's 1533-position model. The record is from RNAcentral. Lineage: Bacteria; Pseudomonadati; Bacteroidota; Bacteroidia; Bacteroidales; Tannerellaceae.